Molecule: long non-coding RNA, 4328 nt
Organism: Ictalurus furcatus (blue catfish)
Lineage: Eukaryota; Metazoa; Chordata; Actinopteri; Siluriformes; Ictaluridae
Exons: 3
Source: RefSeq, a predicted model, not a curated record
ACCUUUCAUCAUGCAUAGGUAUUUUGUAUUUGUGACAAUAAGUGUUAUAUAUCUAUACUACAUUUUAUGUAUUUGUUUUGACUACUUUUGACUGACAAUUAAUCUGGCUUGGUCACCCCCCAAGUAUGAGUCUCUGCAGGUCAGAGUAAUGGUGGUGUCGAAAGGUUUCUCUUAUAGGUGGAAAGAGGUUCUUGCUGGGAACUGAACUUAUCAGUCAGACUUAACUGUACAUAAUUUCACAUAAGCCAGGUUCACACUGUACGAUUUUGGCUGCGAUUUGGUCAUCUGAGACAAAUUUUGAGAGUCCUAAAAGAUUCCUAUAAUCCUAGGCCAAAAUCUGUAGUCUUUGAUUGCUAGGUUGACAUGUUCCACGACAGCCAAUUAAUGGCCAUUGCGCUAAAAAUUUUUCCUUCGAUUCUGCUAAGGCUCACAAAUCUGUAUUUUUAUAACAGUAAACACCCUUAUGGUGUAAUGUUAAUGUUAUAUUGAGUCAUGUUUAUCAAAAUAAAACUGUUAAAAAAUAUAGACCACACUUUAUUGGUUUUUAAAUAAUACAGGCUUAUGUUGAACUUUAUUUUUGUACAUACAGGCUCUGUAUUACAGUGUAGGUAAAUCUGUAUAAUAGGUUAAGUAUUCAGUGUUUCUGGUUGCUACAUGUAAAAUUCUGACAUCUGUUUAUCUGAGAAAUAUUACAUCUAAUCCACUUAAAGAAAACAAACACUACGGGAAGCAGAAAGUGUCCGACUUGACAGCUCCGUUUUCAACUCCUACCCCGACUGCAAGCGGAAACUCUUGCUGAUCGUUUACAUCCAGCCACAGUUGUGAUUUUGUUAAGCUUUUACGUGUCUUGAAAAAAGCAGUUGCUGAAUUAGUGGCUAAAUGGGACUACAGAAGUUGUCUGGGACAUUAAACGUCAUUACACCGAGCAGGAAAACUGUACUACAGCCUCAAGUUUAUACUUGUUCUCUUGCAAACUUUCCAAUGUGUAGAUUUAUCAGUUUAUACUAUUUUCCAAUUGUAGCAUUAAAAAAAACAACAAUUUUUAGCACUAUAAAUUCUAUUGGAAGUGUAGCGUUGUAGUUCGUGGUGUAGUUCGUUUAUAGCUUAAUUUUAAUGUUUUACUUCUGCCGAUUGUAUUUGGGAUUCAAAAUUCAUAAAAGUUGUGUUCAUUUGUGAAGAUUAUCUUGAAGAACAAAACGUGUAAGAAUCAUAAACUUUUGUUGGUCACAGAGCUAAUUUUCUGCAUUAAUCCAAAAGCCAUUUUUGUCGAGGGAACCAGGGUGAUUAUAACUUCCGGGUUGGCCUACAAAAAUACGUCAUCUCUGCAACACUGCAGUUUAACUUACUUGCAGGUUACUAGGUGUAACCAACAGCGCUCUCGGCCGAUUGAAAUAGCCUUUCGACACGCCCCCUAACUUUCGGCACGACCAUCAUGACCUGCCGUGACCUUUUGGCUGGAUAUGUUGCCGCCUGGCAACCUUGCCUACGCAGGCCGCUGUGGAUGAUGGGAUAUGGUCCUGUUUUGUUGUGAUGACCCAGACUUUCAUUAGCUCACCACCUGUUCAACGAACGUCACUGCAGCGACACAUUUUCUGCCUGGAAACACGGCGAGCUAACCGGAGAGGGUGAAAAGGGUGUGUGCGCACACACAUCAGCUAGCUCAUGGAUGCAAGUUCCAAUUCCUCAGAUGACAAACAGAGGAAUCAAAGUAAGAGGAAUCAAAGCUGCCCGUCCUCCCAAGGAAAUGAAGCCCCAAUCACAUGGGAACUUAAUAGAGAACAUAGGAGUGAUUCACUGGGAGCAGCACCUGAACUUCCCCAGUGUAAAAUGGGUAGCAGGAAGGUAGACGACAUGAGCUUCAUGAUAUCGUGCACAAACUGGUACUAGGGACAUGUGAUCUGUGAUCACGUCAGCUUAGUAACCACUAAGCCACCGUGCGCCCUUGUUAUCAUUUAUGUUUAAGAUCAUUGUAUUUUUUUUCUUGAACUGAUGGCCACGGUACCCUGUGAUGUCAGUGUGUCACACAACCACUAAAUCCUCACUGGAAUAACAAAAAUACAGCACUGAAACUGGACACUUGUGAUCAGAUGAUGUUUUUCCAAUCUUCAACUGACCCAUUUCAGAGAGCCUGUGCCCACUGCAGCCUCAGAUUCCUGUCUGACAAGAGUGGACCCUGAUGUGGUCUUCUGCUGUUGUACCUUAUUCACCUCAAGAUUCGAUGUGUUGUGCAUUCCGAGAUGUUUUUCUGCCCACCAUGGUUGUAAACAGUGCUUAUUUGAGUUACCUGCCUGCUCCAUUGAAUUAUCUGCCUAAUUGGCUAAUGAAUGUGUGAGGUGUCCCUAUUAAAGUGACUGAGUGUUUUUAAUGUGUUUCAGAGUGCAACUUCAGAAGUUUAGGACACACAAAGCUUAUUUUAGUUGACUACUUGUCAGUGGUACAACAUAUAGCUAGAACACAAAGGCUAUAACAUAUAAAAGCUAGUCAUCGUCUCCAACUUUUCUAUUAUGCAUGCUAUUUGUUCCAGUUUAUAUUAGGCUUGAAUUGUACUGUUGCAUGCACAGUUGCUAUAUGAUAACCAAUACAGUUUUCACCAAUAAAGUGAGUUAUAAAGGACUCAAAGGACUACAUAUUCAGAUGUAAUUACACAACAAGAAAAAUCACAUUUCAUAAAAGCAAAUAUUCAGUGACAAUUAAAUAACUGAUCAUUUUUGCUUUUAUUGAAAUUAUGUUGUUAAUAGGAAAUGGAGAUGAUGAUAUUAGGUACACCUUGUACAACUUAAAAUCAAACAAAAACCCAGUUUAAUCUGCACAGAUGUAAAAAGGCAAAUUUUUGCAAAUAAAGCUUAAAUAUUGUUAGAUCAAGACUUUUUAAAAAUGAUUGCCAUUGUUAGGAAUGACAUCAUUGUAUAUGAUGUGUAAAAUUAUACACUACUCUUAAAAUGUGAACGAAAAAAAAUCUAAAAAUCCUCCAUUAACUGUUGUAUUUAUAUGAUCCAUCUGGAAAUUAGACAAUAUCAAAAAGCCGCACAGACAGAUUCUCUGUUGUUUGGUCUACAUAACUGUUUCCUUCAUAAAUUCUUCAAAUAAAGUAAAUAUUUAUGUACAUUAAAUACAUUGAAAAUUAAACAUAAAUCAAACAAAUAACGUUAAAGCUUUAUCGGAUAAAAGUUCAGUUGUAAUCAAUCCUCUGUAGACAAAGAACAUAAAUCAAUUUGUGUAAAGUUCUAAACAAGCUCUGAUAUGUUUGUUUGCCCUCUUUAUUUAUUGUUACUCUCUUAAAAUGAGUACAGAAACCAAAGGCAACAGCAGGUAGAGUUUAAGAGUGGCUGUCAUCCAGCGCCACCAUCACACCAAAAAUGAGGCAAUAUCAACAGAGAAUAUUCAUAUUCCCAUUUCUCUUUGUACAUUUUUUUCCAGAACAAACUUGUACUGGCAUGGCUUCACCUUUACUUAAAAAUUUUUCUAUAGAAAUUAUUGAUACUUUUAAAAAUUCUUUCCAUAAAAAUCAUGUAUGUUAAAAUUUGACUAUCCAGUGGUAUGUCCAGAACAGUUUUAGCAGCAGGCCCAAGAGUAGCACAGACGUUGUCAUGGGGGGCAUCAAUGUAUACUAAAUCCUGAUCAUGAGUCCAGCUAUCAGGAUCCAUACAGUCAAUCAUUUGUUUGUGAUAUAAUUGACAAAAGUAGAGUGGUAAAUAAUUCACAUAGAGUUUUAACAUCUAUGUUUGACACCUUUGUCCUUUGUUUGUAGAAAUGUUUUUUGAUGUGAUAACGACUCUCUGAGGAUACAAAGCCCAGCUGAGUAAGUAUGAGAAGUGAUUAUUAAAUAAGUCAGUUACAAACAGUGUAAGUCGAAUCAAAGUGCAUAAAUUACAAGAUGUAUGAUCAUAAAAUUAAGUUGAAGUUUACCAUUUUGGGCUUAUAAUUGUACUUUGGCCUUAAAAGUGUACUUUAAAUUAAUGUAGAUUGCAGAACAAGCAGUCAUUUAGGCUUUGCAAUGAAUUUAGCUACAGGCUACAGUAAAUAUGGAAUAAAACACUUUUGGUUCUGGACAUCUGCAUAAAACCACUCAGUCAUGGAUUGUUUUCCUAUAACAGCACACACAAAACUUACUAAUUGUUUCAAAGUAUUGACAUUGAGACUCCUUCCAUACAUGUUCAAUAAAUUCACUAUAUCAAUGAUUAUACAUUUUCCCUUUCAAUUAUUAUAAUUAUUAUUAGCCUUAGAUUAUGUAGAGUAUCCACCCUUCGAAUGAGAUCCCUAUGAAUGUAACUCUAAUACAUUAUUAUUUGUAUAAUGUAUUAAUAUAAACCUGUGAUUUAUACUCUAGA